AUGCUCACUUCAACAACACAUACACUAAAAUUGGAAUGAUACAGAGAUUAUUAGCAUGGCCCCUGUGCAAAAAUGACAUGCAAAUUCAUGAAGAGUUCCAUAUUUUU
Molecule: small nuclear RNA, 107 nt
Organism: Phacochoerus africanus (Common warthog)
Lineage: Eukaryota; Metazoa; Chordata; Mammalia; Artiodactyla; Suidae
Source: RefSeq, a predicted model, not a curated record